RNAcentral lists this ribosomal RNA (498 nucleotides) under uncultured bacterium. RNAcentral describes it as "bacterial SSU rRNA". It matches the Rfam family "Bacterial small subunit ribosomal RNA", at positions 36 to 518 of the family's 1533-position model. The record is from RNAcentral.
CUGGCGGCGUGCCUAACACAUGCAAGUCGAGCGAGAAUCGUCAAGCAGAGAUUCGUCGAAGUGAGAUGAAGGACAGCGGCGGACGGGUGAGUAACGCGUAGGUAACCUACCUUAUACUGGAGGAUAGCCUAGGGAAACCUGGAUUAAUACUCCAUAAUGCAUUUUAAGUCACAUGGCUUGGAUGCCAAAGAUUUAUCGGUGUAAGAUGGACCUGCGUCUGAUUAGAUAGUUGGUGAGGUAACGGCCCACCAAGUCAACGAUCAGUAGCCGAUCUGAGAGGAUAAUCGGCCACAUUGGAACUGAGACACGGUCCAAACUCCUACGGGAGGCAGCAGUGGGGAAUAUUGCACAAUGGGCGAAAGCCUGAUGCAGCGACGCCGCCGUGAGUGAAGAAGUAUUUCGGUAUGUAAAGCUCUAUCAGCAGGGAAGAAAGACCUCGUAAGAGGGGAUGACGGUACCUGAGUAAGAAGCCCCGGCUAACUACGUGCCAGCAGCGGC